RNAcentral lists this ribosomal RNA (514 nucleotides) under uncultured bacterium. RNAcentral's name for it is "bacterial SSU rRNA". It matches the Rfam family "Bacterial small subunit ribosomal RNA", at positions 996 to 1509 of the family's 1533-position model. The record is from RNAcentral.
CUUAGCAGAGAUGCUUUGGUGGCCUUCGGGAACUCUGAGACAGGUGCUGCAUGGCUGUCGUCAGCUCGUGUUGUGAAAUGUUGGGUUAAGUCCCGCAACGAGCGCAACCCUUAUCCUUUGUUGCCAGCGAUUCGGUCGGGAACUCAAAGGAGACUGCCAGUGAUAAACUGGAGGAAGGUGGGGAUGACGUCAAGUCAUCAUGGCCCUUACGAGUAGGGCUACACACGUGCUACAAUGGCGCAUACAAAGAGAAGCGACCUCGCGAGAGCAAGCGGACCUCAUAAAGUGCGUCGUAGUCCGGAUUGGAGUCUGCAACUCGACUCCAUGAAGUCGGAAUCGCUAGUAAUCGUAGAUCAGAAUGCUACGGUGAAUACGUUCCCGGGCCUUGUACACACCGCCCGUCACACCAUGGGAGUGGGUUGCAAAAGAAGUAGGUAGCUUAACUUUCGGGAGGGCGCUUACCACUUUGUGAUUCAUGACUGGGGUGAAGUCGUAACAAGGUAGGCGUAGUGCU